UGGCAGCAGCAAUGUUUCUGUUCUCUGUAAAUUCGAACUCCAUUAAUGGCAGCAGCAAUGUUUCCAGUCUUCCUACCCUGUAAAGCCCCCAGCUUGCUUCAUUCCUCAGUCUUCUAGUUAUUGCAGUUCUGUGCUUCAACUUCAUCAUCAUUGCUGUAAUCUGA
Long non-coding RNA from Telopea speciosissima, 164 nucleotides. RefSeq lists it as uncharacterized. The transcript is spliced from 3 exons. The record is from RefSeq and is a predicted model, not a curated record. Lineage: Eukaryota; Viridiplantae; Streptophyta; Magnoliopsida; Proteales; Proteaceae.